UACGAAGGGGGCUAGCGUUGUUCGGAAUCACUGGGCGUAAAGCGCACGUAGGCGGAUCUUUAAGUCAGAGGUGAAAUCCCAAGGCUCAACCUUGGAACUGCCUUUGAUACUGGGGAUCUUGAGUCCGGGAGAGGUGAGUGGAACUGCGAGUGUAGAGGUGAAAUUCGUAGAUAUUCGCAAGAACACCAGUGGCGAAGGCGGCUCACUGGCCCGGUACUGACGCUGAGGCGCGACAGCGUGGGGAGCAAACAGG
RNAcentral lists this ribosomal RNA (253 nucleotides) under uncultured bacterium. RNAcentral describes it as "partial 16S ribosomal RNA". It matches the Rfam family "Bacterial small subunit ribosomal RNA", at positions 524 to 776 of the family's 1533-position model. The record is from RNAcentral.